Molecule: transfer RNA, 88 nt
Filed under: Pontiella sulfatireligans
Lineage: Bacteria; Pseudomonadati; Kiritimatiellota; Kiritimatiellia; Kiritimatiellales; Pontiellaceae
Description: tRNA-Ser(cga)
Rfam family: tRNA
About the family: Transfer RNA (tRNA) molecules are approximately 80 nucleotides in length. Their secondary structure includes four short double-helical elements and three loops (D, anti-codon, and T loops).
Source: RNAcentral
GGAGGAAUGGCUGAGUGGUUGAAGGCGCGCGAUUCGAAAUCGUGUGGGCAGCAAUGUCUCGGGAGUUCGAAUCUCCCUUCCUCCGCCA